Molecule: ribosomal RNA, 460 nt
Filed under: uncultured bacterium
Lineage: Bacteria
Description: partial 16S ribosomal RNA
Rfam family: Bacterial small subunit ribosomal RNA
Source: RNAcentral
CCUACGGGUGGCAGCAGUGAGGAAUAUUGGUCAAUGGACGAGAGUCUGAACCAGCCAAGUAGCGUGAAGGAUGACUGCCCUAUGGGUUGUAAACUUCUUUUAUAUGGGAAUAAAAUGUUCCACGUGUGGGAUUUUGUAUGUACCAUAUGAAUAAGGAUCGGCUAACUCCGUGCCAGCAGCCGCGGUAAUACGGAGGAUCCGAGCGUUAUCCGGAUUUAUUGGGUUUAAAGGGAGCGUAGGUGGAUUGUUAAGUCAGUUGUGAAAGUUUGCGGCUCAACCGUAAAAUUGCAGUUGAAACUGGCAGUCUUGAGUACAGUAGAGGUGGGCGGAAUUAGUGGUGUAGCGGUGAAAUGCUUAGAUAUCACGAAGAACUCCGAUUGCGAAGGCAGUUCACUGGACUGCAACUGACACUGAGGCUCGAAAGUGUGGGUAUCAAACAGGAUUAGAUACCCGAGUAGUC